RNAcentral lists this long non-coding RNA (633 nucleotides) under Homo sapiens (human). RNAcentral's name for it is "HSALNT0350858". The record is from RNAcentral. Lineage: Eukaryota; Metazoa; Chordata; Mammalia; Primates; Hominidae.
AGUCUGAUGGAUCUGGGUGACUGGGCAAGUUCUUUAGCUUGUCAAACCUUCAUUUCUCUAAUUUAUAACAUAAGGACAGUACCUUCUUCCUGUCAAGGUUGAGGCAAGCAUUAGUGAGAAACGUCUCAAGGCCUGGUUCACAUUAAAGGUCAAAAAAGAGAGAAAACAUCACUGUUCUCUUCAGCAGAACUUUUGUCAGUGUGAUCGAGAAUUGUCUCAAGUGACAAGUGAGCUGACCAGGGAACCCUGGGUGGCAGGUACUAUUGGCACCAUUUUCCAGAUAAAGAAAAUGAAGUUCUAAGCAGUCAAAUGACAUGUCAAGAUCACCCAACUGAGACUACUGCCCUUCAUUGAUUGAUGUCCGGUGCCUGGAAAGCCAUGGUUUUAUGCAGUUUGUGGAUUUUUUAUUUUUUUUCUUUAUUUGAAAUGGGAAGGAUCACAUUACAUCGAACAGAAACUGUUUUACCUUGCUUGCAAGGAGGUGGAGGCCUCCUUGCCCCCAAGUGUGGUGCCACUUCCGGGUUCCUUGAGCACUUCCAGGUUAUCAGCCCAGCUCUCCUCCAGUUUCUGGGGCUGCUGAAGAAGCUGUUGGGGAAAUUCUGGAGGCUGGGAAGUCCAAGAUCAAAGUGCCAG